GGUAUAGAAAUGGUAUCACCAUGUGCACAAGCAAAAUAAAUUUAUCAUCAAUCAUUCAAAGCUCCAUAAAAACAUUCCCAAAGAAAAACCAAAAACAAGUGGCAGCCGGCUAUUCUUCAUUCUCAAUGCAAUUGGUGCAGCCAAGACAGUAGACAAAGAAAAUAAAGCUAGUAAAUGAAUGCUCUAAGACGUGACAGCUGCUAACUUAUCUAAAUCAAUCAUCCAUUCUUCACAAUUGUUAGACUGUAAGCUCUUUUUUUUUUAAAAAAAAAGGAAGAAAAGAAAAAAAAUGUUCUUCUCCAAAUCUAGGACAUGUAGCCAUCCCCUUCUCCCAGCAUGAAGUCGUGACACCUUAGC
Molecule: long non-coding RNA, 357 nt
Filed under: Vigna radiata
Lineage: Eukaryota; Viridiplantae; Streptophyta; Magnoliopsida; Fabales; Fabaceae
Description: long non-coding RNA (VRAD_LNC012351)
Source: RNAcentral